Molecule: long non-coding RNA, 135 nt
Organism: Daphnia pulicaria
Lineage: Eukaryota; Metazoa; Arthropoda; Branchiopoda; Diplostraca; Daphniidae
Exons: 3
Source: RefSeq, a predicted model, not a curated record
GAGGAUGAAGGUGCCGACGGAUCAGACAGCCGAGAUGAACUGAGAAAAGUAAAGGAAGAUGCAAAGUGUUAAGGACCAAAAGGUAGACAGCGAUGGGUGGCUUAAAUACUUCGUUUAUGCUUGCAGGUGCAUCGA